AUUGAACGCUGGCGGCAGGCCUAACACAUGCAAGUCGAGCGGAUGAAGGGAGCUUGCUCCUGGAUUCAGCGGCGGACGGGUGAGUAAUGCCUAGGAAUCUGCCUGGUAGUGGGGGAUAACGUCCGGAAACGGGCGCUAAUACCGCUUACGUCCUGAGGGAGAAAGUGGGGGAUCUUCGGACCUCACGCUAUCAGAUGAGCCUAGGUCGGAUUAGCUAGUUGGUGGGGUAAAGGCCUACCAAGGCGACGAUCCGUAACUGGUCUGAGAGGAUGAUCAGUCACACUGGAACUGAGACACGGUCCAGACUCCUACGGGAGGCAGCAGUGGGGAAUAUUGGACAAUGGGCGAAAGCCUGAUCCAGCCAUGCCGCGUGUGUGAAGAAGGUCUUCGGAUUGUAAAGCACUUUAAGUUGGGAGGAAGGGCAGUAAGUUAAUACCUUGCUGUUUUGACGUCACCAACAGAAUAAGCACCGGCUAACUUCGUG
RNAcentral lists this ribosomal RNA (484 nucleotides) under uncultured bacterium. RNAcentral's name for it is "partial 16S ribosomal RNA". It matches the Rfam family "Bacterial small subunit ribosomal RNA", at positions 30 to 507 of the family's 1533-position model. The record is from RNAcentral.